Molecule: long non-coding RNA, 906 nt
Filed under: Homo sapiens (human)
Lineage: Eukaryota; Metazoa; Chordata; Mammalia; Primates; Hominidae
Description: HSALNT0122566
Source: RNAcentral
AUCUAUAAGCUACUUUGGGCAACAUGGCUACUAAAUGUGAAAUUUAAUACAGGGGUAGGACCAAGCAAAAAUUCUAGAGCCAAAGAAUAUGAUUAUUGAACUAAAAAAAAUCGUUGAGUGUUCAACAACCAAUCCAAUCAAAUAGAAGAAAUAACUGGUAAGCUAGAAUACAGGUCAUUUGGUAUUACCCAGUAAAAGGAACAAAAAUUAAAAUGAAAAACAGUAAAGAAAGCCAAUGAGACUUAUGGAAAACCAUCAAAUGAACUAAUCAAUAUAUGCAUGAUUGAAGUCUAAGAAGGGAGGAAACAGAAAGAGGAAGAAAGCUUAUUUUAAAAAAUAACUCAAACAUCCAGAGAGGGAAAUGAACAUACAGAUUCAAAGAUCCCAAAGUAUCCCCAAAUAAUCUGAUUACAAAUAAAUUCACAGCAAAGCAAAAAUUAUAAUCUUAUUUUCCAGUCUAAGACAGAGAAUUUAAAAGUAGCAUGAGAAAACUGACUCAUUACAUAAAAGAUAAUUUACCUAAACCUAAAAGUGAAUUUCUCAGCAGAAACCUUGCAACCCAGAGAAUGACAUAUUCAAAUUGGUGAAAGAACAACAAAAAAUGCCAUACAAGAAAACUUUACCCAGCAAAACUGUCCUUUAAAAAUAAAGAAGAAAUCAAUACUUUCUAGACAAAAACAAAGACAGUUCGUCACCAUUGUAUCAGCCUUACAAAGAGUGCUGAAGUGAGAUCUUCAAGUUGAAACAAAAGGAUACUGUACAGCAACACAAAAGCAUAUUGGAGUAUAAGUAUCAUUGGUCAAGGUAAUUAUAUACAUAAAUACAGAAACUAUAAUAACACAACAUUUUAAGAACAUUAUAACAAUAUAACAUUAUAACAAUAUAACAUCGUUGUAACGAUAUAAC